AUUAUUGAUGGAGCUCACUGUUAGGCAAGGCCUCCUGUCACCCUAGACCAACACAAUACAGCUCUUCAGCCUCACUGCAGCGGGCACAGACGUCUCCGUAAAGCAGCCCACGUGCGUGCCCGCCCAAGGCAAUGUGAGGGUGGCUGUCAUUCAAGCUGCUGCUCAAAGGCAGAGCGCCUUUUCUCAGACUGAGUGAAUAGCAGAGGUAUCAGGAACAAAUGACAGGAGAGACAGGGACUUUAGAGACUUUCUCUCUGAAGAAUGUGGUCAAGAAGGACCAAAUACUGUCUAAUAAGACAAAAUUAUAUCAAAGCUAUAAAUCGGUAUCAUUUUUCUUAUCUACAGAUUCUAAAGGGUUUAUGUAUUCAUUGUCUCAUUUCUUACUUAGAUUUACAAUGGAGACUUCAAAGCUUGAAAUGUAAAUGAUUUAGCUAAAAUCAUGAUUGAACUUCUAAAAUUCAACUCUGAACAAAUACUCAAAAUGAAAUGUACCAAGUGCUUAAGCAAAACAAAGUUAGAAUUUCCAUGGAAACAGCCUGGAACUCUGGAAGCAGAAGAGAGGACAAAGGCAUGCAAACACAUUUAUUUAUUUUUUAGUUCCUCUUCACCUCUGCCCCUCCAAACCUCAAGCUGUCAUCUUAAUGAAGGCUUUCAAGCCUCAGAGGGAAUUAAGAAGAACAAUAUUUGACAGGAGUGAGAAAAGAACUAAAUAUAGUUCCCUUGUGAGAGAAAUGUAUUCCAUAAUCUCAUCCAUUCGCCUUCCCUUAUCUGGGUAAUCUCUCCAUCUUUCGACGUUAUUUUUGUGCUGCUUUUAUUGCAAAGCCAGUUGAGCUGUUCCUUGGUAGGGAACAGAAUAGAGAGAACAUGAGAUACGAUUCUGUCCUCUUUUGCAAGGGUUAUUUUAUGAGACAAUUGAGUUCAGUUACCAAGUUAAUAUUGUACAUAUUUCCUCAGUAAUUUCCUUGCUUAAUGCUUUCGAAUUUCUAAAAUGCUCUCGUCUCCCUUAAUUUAUUCAAUGAAUACAACCUGAGAAGUAGAUGGAGCAACUCUGCUGGCUACUAUCAACCCACAUUUGAUCCGUUUGGAAGGGUUUAAGAUCACCCUGCUGAUAAGUAAUGAAGCCAGGACUCACCCAGCACUUUGGAUCUCAGCCCCAUUGCUUUCUCUAGCUCUACAAUAGUGUGCCUGACCAACCAUUAUGUCAUGGGUAUUCUCUCCUUCUUCUUAGGUAUUAAAAACUUCUAUUUAUUUCUUUUUAGAAAUGUAUUACUGGCCGCGCAUGGUGGCUCCAGCCCAUAUUCCCAGUACUUUGGAAGGCUACAGUGGGAGGAUCGCUUGAGUUCAGGUGAGACCAGCCCGGAGAGUAUCGUGAGAAUCCAUCUCU
Long non-coding RNA from Sapajus apella (tufted capuchin), 1384 nucleotides. RefSeq lists it as uncharacterized. Lineage: Eukaryota; Metazoa; Chordata; Mammalia; Primates; Cebidae. The transcript has 2 exons. The record is from RefSeq and is a predicted model, not a curated record.